UCUCCCCCAUAGAGAUCAUUCCCAGUAUGAGAUUUAUUCCCCUGCAGUCCAUACAUCACCAGCCUGUGCACCUUCUCAUCCUCCCCUUCAGAUAACACUUAUCUUCUCUGUGAGGUCCUUCUCCUAUGCAGACCUGCGUCCUUAGAAUACAGAGCAGGGGGGAGGGGAGGGGAGGAGCUGUGUACUCAGCUGGAUGAGAUGAGGGGGCGUGGCUUAUUCCUCUCAUGCAGACAGAGGGGAAAAAAAAGCUGUGACAUCUUGUCCACCACAGACUCAGAACUGUGGACAACGGUAAAAGAAAACCCUCUGAACUACAGAACUUCCUGCCCAACAAACAGAGCGUGCACCAGUGCAUUUUAGAACAGUCAUCUCCCAUAGCAACCAUUCGCCUGGCCAACUUCUUUGCACCAGCCCGGUCAAUAUUUGCAUCAGUCAUACAGAGUAUUCAGCCUGAUACACACUGCAAUACUGCUCCUUUUAC
Hyla sarda is the source of this 481-nucleotide long non-coding RNA. RefSeq lists it as uncharacterized. The transcript is spliced from 3 exons. The record is from RefSeq and is a predicted model, not a curated record. Lineage: Eukaryota; Metazoa; Chordata; Amphibia; Anura; Hylidae.